Molecule: ribosomal RNA, 254 nt
Filed under: uncultured bacterium
Lineage: Bacteria
Description: partial 16S ribosomal RNA
Rfam family: Bacterial small subunit ribosomal RNA
Source: RNAcentral
CACGUAGGGGGCGAGCGUUGUCCGGAAUCAUUGGGCGUAAAGAGCUCGUAGGCGGCUCGGUAAGUCGGGUGUGAAACCCCCAGGCUCAACCUGGGGACGCCACCCGAUACUGCUGUGGCUAGAGUCCAGUAGGGGAGUGUGGAAUUCCCGGUGUAGCGGUGAAAUGCGCAGAUAUCGGGAGGAACACCAGCGGCGAAGGCGGCACUCUGGGCCAUCCCUGACGCUGAGGCGCGAAGGCCAGGGGAGCGAACGGG